AAAAAAGAUAAACCUGGGUUUCCGUGUCCAACAUUUGACUAUCCCGUAAUUAGUAUUUUCAUUAUUGUUAGAUGAUAAAACAUGAUUAAUAUUUUAUGCGUGACUUAUCUUUUUAUUUUUUUUCAUAAUUUUUUUAAAUAAGACGGACGGUAAAAUGUUGGACAUGGAAACCAAGAUUUGUCUUUUUU
Oryza sativa Japonica Group (Japanese rice) is the source of this 188-nucleotide microRNA precursor. It matches the Rfam family "MIR812 microRNA precursor family". The record is from Rfam. NCBI's taxonomy places the organism in Eukaryota, Viridiplantae, Streptophyta, Magnoliopsida, Poales, Poaceae.